UACGGAAGGCAGCAGUGGGGAAUAUUGCACAAUGGGCGAAAGCCUGAUGCAGCUAUGCCGCGUGUAUGAAGAAGGCCUUAGGGUUGUAAAGUACUUUCAUCGGGGAGGAAAAAACAAAACUAAUAAUUUUAUUUCUUGACGUUACCCGAAAAAGAAGCACCGGCUAACUCCGUGCCAGCAGCCGCGGUAAUACGGAGGGUGCUAGCGUUAAUCAGAAUUACUGGGCGUAAAGAGCACGUAGGUGGUUUUUUUAAGUCAGAUGUGAAAUCCCUGGGCUUAACCUAGGAACUGCAUUUUGAAACUGAAAUACUAGAGUAUCGUAGAGGGAGGUAGAAUUCUAGGUGUAGCGGUGAAAUGCGUAGAUAUCUGGAGGAAUACCUGUGGCGAAAGCGGCCUCCUAAACGAAUACUGACACUGAGGUGCGAAAGCGUUGGGGAGCAAACAGGGAUUAGAUACC
This 457-nucleotide ribosomal RNA is filed under the name uncultured bacterium. RNAcentral describes it as "bacterial SSU rRNA". It matches the Rfam family "Bacterial small subunit ribosomal RNA", at positions 340 to 786 of the family's 1533-position model. The record is from RNAcentral.